CAGCCGCCGCGGUAAUACGAAGGGUGCAAGCGUUAGUCGGAAUUACUGGGCGUAAAGCGUGCGUAGGCGGUGAGUUAAGUCUGCUGUGAAAUCCCCGGGCUCAACCUGGGAAUGGCAGUGGAUACUGGCUCGCUAGAGUGUGUCAGAGGAUGGUGGAAUUCCCGGCGUAGCGGUGAAAUGCGUAGAGAUCGGGAGGAACAUCAGUGGCGAAGGCGGCCAUCUGGGACAACACUGACGCUGAGGCACGAAAGCGUGGGGAGCAAACAGGAUUAGAUACCCGUGUAGUCCCUGUCUCUUAUAA
Molecule: ribosomal RNA, 301 nt
Filed under: uncultured bacterium
Lineage: Bacteria
Description: partial 16S ribosomal RNA
Rfam family: Bacterial small subunit ribosomal RNA
Source: RNAcentral